GACGAACGCUGGCGGCGCGCUUAACACAUGCAAGUCGAACGGAAAGGCCUGCUUUCCCUUGUGGAUUGCGGGUACUCGAGUGGCGAACGGGUGAGUAACACGUGAGUGAUCUGCCCCCAACUUGGGUAUAAGCCUGGGAAACUGGGUCUAAUUCCCGAUAGGACUGCAGGGUGGUGCCUGUGGUGGAAAACGAUUUUCUAGUGGUUGGGGAUGAGCUCGCGGCCUAUCAGCUUGUUGGUGGGGUAAUGGCCUACCAAGGCGGCGACGGGUAGCCGGCCUGAGAGGGUGGACGGCCACAUUGGGACUGGGAUACGGCCCAGACGCCUACGGGAGGCAGCAGUGGGGAAUAUUGCACAAUGGGCGGAAGCCUGAUGCAGCGACGCCGCGUGGGGGAUGACGGCCUUCGGGUGGUAAACUCCUUUCGACCGCGAGGAAGCCACCUGGUUGGAAGGGUGGUGACGGUAGUGGUAGAAGAAGCACCGGCUAACUACGUG
RNAcentral lists this ribosomal RNA (494 nucleotides) under uncultured bacterium. RNAcentral's name for it is "partial 16S ribosomal RNA". It matches the Rfam family "Bacterial small subunit ribosomal RNA", at positions 28 to 507 of the family's 1533-position model. The record is from RNAcentral.